UACGAAGGGGGCUAGCGUUGCUCGGAAUCACUGGGCGUAAAGGGCGCGUAGGCGGCGUUUUUUAAGUCGGGGGUGAAAGCCUGUGGCUCAACCACAGAAUGGCCUCGAUACUGGGACGCUUGAGUAUGGUAGAGGUUGGUGGAACUGCGAGUGUAGAGGUGAAAUUCGUAGAUAUUCGCAAGAACACCAGUGGCGAAGGCGGCUCACUGGCCCGAUACUGACGCUGAGGCACGAAAGCGUGGGGAGCAAACAGGG
Molecule: ribosomal RNA, 255 nt
Filed under: uncultured bacterium
Lineage: Bacteria
Description: partial 16S ribosomal RNA
Rfam family: Bacterial small subunit ribosomal RNA
Source: RNAcentral